CCCCAGGAGGGUUGCAUGUCGGCAGCAGCGCAAGUGCCUCUCCAACGCAUCAAAUAGGACCCUUCGUAGCCGUCGCAUCGCCGGGUGGAGAUAACUCAUCAGCAGCAGCAUCUUAGUUUUUGCUUACUGCAAGACGAAGGCCUCUGCCAACCAUAUCCGGUCACCCAAGUCCUAGCGAGCACGUGAAUCGACAGAAAAAUCACUCCGGUUUGCAAGGCGCCAGCCGAGUAAGUCAUUGCGUCAA
Long non-coding RNA from Dermacentor silvarum, 244 nucleotides. RefSeq lists it as uncharacterized. Lineage: Eukaryota; Metazoa; Arthropoda; Arachnida; Ixodida; Ixodidae. The record is from RefSeq and is a predicted model, not a curated record. The transcript is spliced from 3 exons.